This 288-nucleotide ribosomal RNA is filed under the name uncultured bacterium. RNAcentral's name for it is "partial 16S ribosomal RNA". It matches the Rfam family "Bacterial small subunit ribosomal RNA", at positions 775 to 1067 of the family's 1533-position model. The record is from RNAcentral.
GGAUUAGAUACCCUGGUAGUCCACGCUGUAAACGAUGGAUACUAGGUGUUCGGCUUUCGGGUUGAGUGCCUAAGGGAAACCGAUAAGUAUCCCACCUGGGGAGUACGUCCGCAAGGAUGAAACUCAAAGGAAUUGACGGGGGCCCGCACAAGCGGUGGAGCAUGUGGUUUAAUUCGAUGAUACGCGAGGAACCUUACCUGGGCUAGAAUGCGCGUGACGUACCGGGAAACCGGUAUUCCCUUCGGGGCACAAAGCAAGGUGCUGCAUGGUUGUCGUCAGCUCGUGCCG